UACGAAGGGGGCUAGCGUUGCUCGGAAUCACUGGGCGUAAAGCGCACGUAGGCGGCUUUUUAAGUCAGGGGUGAAAUCCUGGAGCUCAACUCCAGAACUGCCUUUGAUACUGAGAAGCUUGAGUCCGGGAGAGGUGAGUGGAACUGCGAGUGUAGAGGUGAAAUUCGUAGAUAUUCGCAAGAACACCAGUGGCGAAGGCGGCUCACUGGCCCGGUACUGACGCUGAGGAGCGAAAGUGUGGGGAGCGAACAGG
RNAcentral lists this ribosomal RNA (253 nucleotides) under uncultured bacterium. Its description in RNAcentral is "partial 16S ribosomal RNA". It matches the Rfam family "Bacterial small subunit ribosomal RNA", at positions 524 to 776 of the family's 1533-position model. The record is from RNAcentral.